AAUCCCCUGGAGAGGACUGCCUCUUCCCCCAGCUUGGGGCUCAUUCAACUGCCUAAUGCUCCAGCCACUGGGAGGCCUCCAGUGGCAGACUCUGAACCCCUGAUGUCCACCACCUCCCUCUCCUCUCCUCUCAUCCACCCCUGCAACUCCUCCAUCCCAUGAUGUAGCAGAGUUCCAGUCACUCAGGAAAAAGGAGACCAAGAGCCCCACGUAGACAGAGGGCCUAGUUCUUGUGUGCCAAGGUGUGCCUACAGACUGUCACUUCGAUUCGGGGUUCCUCAGCCCAGCACUGCUGACACUGUGGGUGCAGCAUUUUUUAAAAGCAAAAUUUCUAAAAGAUCGGGGCCUACCGUAAUUCUUCAUAUUACAUUUGUUGAACAAGUUCCAUCCCAGUCGAGGAAGAUCCCACCCGCUGCAGGACAACUAAGCCCAAGUGCCACACUAUUGAGCCUGCACCCUGGAGCCCGUGAGCCACAAAUACUGAAGCCCAUGCACCACAGCCACUGAAGCCUGCGUGCCAUGGAGCCCACGCUGCGCAACAAAAGAAGCCACCACACAAGAAGCCUGUGCACUGCAGCUAGAGAGUAGCCCCCACGCACCGCAAGGAGGGAAAGCCCUCGUAGCAGUGAAGACC
Long non-coding RNA from Bos taurus (domestic cattle), 634 nucleotides. Lineage: Eukaryota; Metazoa; Chordata; Mammalia; Artiodactyla; Bovidae. The record is from Ensembl.